This 404-nucleotide ribosomal RNA is filed under the name Fusobacteriota bacterium. RNAcentral's name for it is "Fusobacteria bacterium partial 16S ribosomal RNA". It matches the Rfam family "Bacterial small subunit ribosomal RNA", at positions 355 to 776 of the family's 1533-position model. Lineage: Bacteria; Fusobacteriati; Fusobacteriota. The record is from RNAcentral.
UGGGGAAUAUUGCACAAUGGAGGGAACUCUGAUGCAGCGACGCCGCGUGAGUGAUGAAGGAAUUCGUUUCGUAAAACUCUGUUCUAUGGGAAGAAAAGGACUGUACCAUAGGAGAAAGCUCCGGCUAAAUACGUGCCAGCAGCCGCGGUAAUACGUAUGGAGCGAGCGUUGUCCGGAAUUAUUGGGCGUAAAGGGUGCGCAGGCGGCUUUACAAGUUGGAUGUGAAAUAUUGUGGCUCAACCACAAACGUGCAUCCAAAACUGCAAAGCUUGAGUUAAGGAGAGGUAAGUGUAAUUCCUGGUGUAGCGGUGGAAUGCGUAGAUCUCAGGAGGAAUACCGGUGGCGAAGGCGACUUACUGGACUUAAACUGACGCUCAGGCACGAAAGCGUGGGGAGCAAACAGG